GAAUAGGGGAGCCGAAGGGAAACCGAGUCUUAACUGGGCGUUAAGUUGCAGGGUAUAGACCCGAAACCCGGUGAUCUAGCCAUGGGCAGGUUGAAGGUUGGGUAACACUAACUGGAGGACCGAACCGACUAAUGUUGAAAAAUUAGCGGAUGACUUGUGGCUGGGGGUGAAAGGCCAAUCAAACCGGGAGAUAGCUGGUUCUCCCCGAAAGCUAUUUAGGUAGCGCCUCGUGAAUUCAUCUCCGGGGGUAGAGCACUGUUUCGGCAAGGGGGUCAUCCCGACUUACCAACCCGAUGCAAACUGCGAAUACCGGAGAAUGUUAUCACGGGAGACACACGGCGGGUGCUAACGUCCGUCGUGAAGAGGGAAACAACCCAGACCGCCAGCUAAGGUCCCAAAGUCAUGGUUAAGUGGGAAACGAUGUGGGAAGGCCCAGACAGCCAGGAUGUUGGCUUAGAAGCAGCCAUCAUUUAAAGAAAGCGUAAUAGCUCACUGGUCGAGUCGGCCUGCGCGGAAGAUGUAACGGGGCUAAACCAUGCACCGAAGCUGCGGCAGCGACACUAUGUGUUGUUGGGUAGGGGAGCGUUCUGUAAGCCUGUGAAGGUGGCCUGUGAGGGUUGCUGGAGGUAUCAGAAGUGCGAAUGCUGACAUAAGUAACGAUAAAGCGGGUGAAAAGCCCGCUCGCCGGAAGACCAAGGGUUCCUGUCCAACGUUAAUCGGGGCAGGGUGAGUCGACCCCUAAGGCGAGGCCGAAAGGCGUAGUCGAUGGGAAACAGGUUAAUAUUCCUGUACUUGGUGUUACUGCGAAGGGGGGACGGAGAAGGCUAUGUUGGCCGGGCGACGGUUGUCCCGGUUUAAGCGUGUAGGCUGGUUUUCCAGGCAAAUCCGGAAAACCAAGGCUGAGGCGUGAUGACGAGGCACUACGGUGCUGAAGCGACAAAUGCCCUGCUUCCAGGAAAAGCCUCUAAGCAUCAGGUAACAUCAAAUCGUACCCCAAACCGACACAGGUGGUCAGGUAGAGAAUACCAAGGCGCUUGAGAGAACUCGGGUGAAGGAACUAGGCAAAAUGGUGCCGUAACUUCGGGAGAAGGCACGCUGAUAUGUAGGUGAAGCGACUUGCUCGUGGAGCUGAAAUCAGUCGAAGAUACCAGCUGGCUGCAACUGUUUAUUAAAAACACAGCACUGUGCAAACACGAAAGUGGACGUAUACGGUGUGACGCCUGCCCGGUGCCGGAAGGUUAAUUGAUGGGGUUAGCGGUAACGCGAAGCUCUUGAUCGAAGCCCCGGUAAACGGCGGCCGUAACUAUAACGGUCCUAAGGUAGCGAAAUUCCUUGUCGGGUAAGUUCCGACCUGCACGAAUGGCGUAAUGAUGGCCAGGCUGUCUCCACCCGAGACUCAGUGAAAUUGAACUCGCUGUGAAGAUGCAGUGUACCCGCGGCAAGACGGAAAGACCCCGUGAACCUUUACUAUAGCUUGACACUGAACAUUGAGCCUUGAUGUGUAGGAUAGGUGGGAGGCUUUGAAGUGUGGACGCCAGUCUGCAUGGAGCCGACCUUGAAAUACCACCCUUUAAUGUUUGAUGUUCUAACGUUGGCCCGUAAUCCGGGUUGCGGACAGUGUCUGGUGGGUAGUUUGACUGGGGCGGUCUCCUCCUAAAGAGUAACGGAGGAGCACGAAGGUUGGCUAAUCCUGGUCGGACAUCAGGAGGUUAGUGCAAUGGCAUAAGCCAGCUUGACUGCGAGCGUGACGGCGCGAGCAGGUGCGAAAGCAGGUCAUAGUGAUCCGGUGGUUCUGAAUGGAAGGGCCAUCGCUCAACGGAUAAAAGGUACUCCGGGGAUAACAGGCUGAUACCGCCCAAGAGUUCAUAUCGACGGCGGUGUUUGGCACCUCGAUGUCGGCUCAUCACAUCCUGGGGCUGAAGUAGGUCCCAAGGGUAUGGCUGUUCGCCAUUUAAAGUGGUACGCGAGCUGGGUUUAGAACGUCGUGAGACAGUUCGGUCCCUAUCUGCCGUGGGCGCUGGAGAACUGAGGGGGGCUGCUCCUAGUACGAGAGGACCGGAGUGGACGCAUCACUGGUGUUCGGGUUGUCAUGCCAAUGGCACUGCCCGGUAGCUAAAUGCGGAAGAGAUAAGUGCUGAAAGCAUCUAAGCACGAAACUUGC
This 2161-nucleotide ribosomal RNA is filed under the name Escherichia coli. RNAcentral describes it as "partial 23S ribosomal RNA". It matches the Rfam family "Bacterial large subunit ribosomal RNA", at positions 655 to 2797 of the family's 2925-position model. The record is from RNAcentral. Lineage: Bacteria; Pseudomonadati; Pseudomonadota; Gammaproteobacteria; Enterobacterales; Enterobacteriaceae.